GACGAACGCUGGCGGCGUGCUUAACACAUGCAAGUCGAACGGAAAGGCCCUGCUUUUGUGGGGUGCUCGAGUGGCGAACGGGUGAGUAACACGUGAGUAACCUGCCCUUGACUUUGUGAUAACUUCAGGAAACUGGGGCUAAUACCGGAUAGGAGCUCCUGCUGCAUGGUGGGGGUUGGAAAGUUUCGGCGGUUGGGGAUGGACUCGCGGCUUAUCAGCUUGUUGGUGGGGUAGUGGCUUACCAAGGCUUUGACGGGUAGCCGGCCUGAGAGGGUGACCGGCCACAAUGGGACUGAGAUGCGGCCCAGACUCCUACGGGAGGCAGCAGUGGGGAAUAUUGCACAAUGGGCGGAAGCCUGAUGCAGAAACGCCGCGUGCGGGAUGACGGCCUUCGGGUUGUAAACCGCUUUCGCCUGUGACGAAGCGUGAGUGACGGUAAUGGGUCAAGAAGCAACGGCUAACUACGUG
RNAcentral lists this ribosomal RNA (468 nucleotides) under uncultured bacterium. RNAcentral describes it as "partial 16S ribosomal RNA". It matches the Rfam family "Bacterial small subunit ribosomal RNA", at positions 28 to 507 of the family's 1533-position model. The record is from RNAcentral.